Molecule: ribosomal RNA, 114 nt
Filed under: uncultured bacterium
Lineage: Bacteria
Description: partial 16S ribosomal RNA
Rfam family: Bacterial small subunit ribosomal RNA
Source: RNAcentral
CGUUCCCGGGUCUUGUACACACCGCCCGUCACACCAUGGGAGUGGGUUUUACCAGAAGUAGGUAGCUUAACCGCAAGGAGGGCGCUUACCACGGUAGGGCUCGUGACUGGGGUG